Notolabrus celidotus (New Zealand spotty) is the source of this 3598-nucleotide long non-coding RNA. RefSeq lists it as uncharacterized. The transcript is spliced from 3 exons. Lineage: Eukaryota; Metazoa; Chordata; Actinopteri; Labriformes; Labridae. The record is from RefSeq and is a predicted model, not a curated record.
GCGAUGGAUUUAACAUUCUCAGCUAUGUGACUUCAAAAGCUCUGGGACUCAUUAAAAUAGUAACCACAGUAUGAACCAUGCCACAGUGUUGCACAGUUGCAGAUGAGCUGGUUGCAAGUCAUCCAAAGCUGUUCGAAGGAAUUGGCAAAUUAAAAGACUUUCAGGUGAAGCUUCACAUAAACCCUGACGUCAGACCUACAUGCCAACCACAUCGCAGUGUGCCAUUCCACAUCCGCCAGAAGGUUGAGGAUGAGCUUCGGAAGCUAGAAGCAGAGGAAAUCAUCAAGGAGGUUGCUGGCCCGACUCCUUGGGUCUUGCCUAUCGUCGCACCUCCAAAGCCAGAAGACAAAACAAAGACAGACUUUGUGUUGACAUGAGGCAAGCUAACACAGCCAUCACGUCACUCCAACCAUAGAUGACGUGAUACAUGAGUUAAAUGGAGCGACUGUGUGUUCCAAACUGGAUCUGAGAGCUGGAUACCAUCAGCUGGUGCUUCAUCCGGACAGCAGUGAAUGAAGGACGAUUCAGGCACUCCCACAGCUUCUGCUUUAUGCGUCGUCCUAGAUCCAGACUGUGUGGACGAAGACAACCAUCCUUGUACCUGCAGAAGGGACCGAAAGAAAGCUUGAUAAAUCUGCUGGUACUCUGGCACUGUAUAACCAUGGAUCAUCAGUGGACUGUCGUCUGGAGGAGCUGUGGAGGGCUGGGUGCUGGGGACCACAGACCGAAGCCCGCUCAGCAGGUGGAAUCGUGGACUGAGGCCUCUGGACCGGAGGAGAAACAACAGCAUCAUGGGUGGAGUGCUGAGGAGCAGGAUCCCGAGUCAGCUCUGCAAGAUGCUCUGAAGAAGAGGGGCGUGCCACGGAGGCCUGCUCCCUCUUCUUUCUGGAUGCAGGAGAUGAGUGACGGGGAUUUGAAUCCUGGAGAGAGUUAUAACAAAUGAGAGGAUGUUAGUCUCCAGUAAAGUUCUCAGCAACAGAUCUCAACAAUUAAAAAAAAACAACUGGAUAAACAAGUGGAAAUGAUGAAGCUUCAAGUAGACAAUCACAUCGGGAUUCUCUGUCAAGGUACACAAAUCUGUAUUUUUUCUCAAAGUAAGAACAUCUAAUGUCUUACCUGGUUGCUCCUGCAGCAUGAGCAGGGAGGGAAAGCUUGGGGCUUUCUCUCUGCACGGUGUGCAGAGGCUCUCCUGGUCUGUUUGGGAUCCUGAAGCUGGCGAGGAACAUCACACUUCAACAGAAAACACGUGUUAGAACAAAGCUUUGAUACAGUAAAACAAAAACUACAUUUAAUGAUCUCAAGUAACCUGCACAAGUUUGAGCAUCUAUAAGAUGAGUGUUUUAUCACGCGUUGAUGGCCUGUUAGUCCUUUAAACCCAUCCAUGGAGUAGUUCACCAGAAACAAAAUGAGCUGCUGGAUCACUCCAGUAUGUUCAGAUUUCAUGUGUGGAGAUACUAACAUGCUACAGAUUCAAUAUGGUGGCUCUAUAAAUGUUUGAAUUAACAAACAUUCAGAUGUUAGACAUAUAAGGGAACAAAAUAAAAGUUUUCAUCUUGUUUGGGUCGACAAAAGCUAUUGCAAUAUUUUUAACAUUACAUUUUGUAAAAGAGGUUCUAUUAAAGUCGGGGCCUGGGGUCAGUUUGGUUAGCAAAUAAGUUCAAGUUUUACCCCUAGUCACACUGACAUUUCUGAUAUAAUGCUUCAUAGCUCAGCUCUGAGUUAAAUUGUUGAAAAUAUAUUUGUAGGCUAUAUUUAUUAGAUCUAUAAAAUAAAACAUUAUUGCACCGCAGGUAAAGAGUGAAAUUCACCGGAAAUCGUCGAGUGAAAGUAGUGAAAAACUUUUUCUUGCUGUUUGAGGUUCAGUUUGUUUGAAUAAUAUCUCGAUAUAAAGAGGAACCAUGGAAAAAAAAGAAUGCGUCAGAACCAGGAGAACGUGGGGAUGCGCACACACUUAUCCAUCAACAUUACAAAGACCAAAUAAACACAAUUACUGACAGAUGCAUAAUUUCAAAACACCUCCAAAGUGUGGUUCAUCAUAAUUUUGUAUAAAAUGCAAAAUCAGUUUCUAAAAGAUCGAGACAGAGUCCGCGAUGGGUUACAUUAGUGAGCGUGACCUAUGAGCGCAGAUCAUUAAAAAUUUCCAAACUGAGGUUCCCUUUUUUCACUCAGUCAGGACUGUUGAUAUAUACUUCUAAAUGUAUGUAAUAUUUAUAUCAAUAAAUAGCUGCAUGAUCAAUAUAUAGGUGUGUAUAUCGAGGGAGGGGCUGUGUGUAAUUUAAAGCUUGAUCCAUAGACGUGCGUAAUUUACGCAUUUGGCACAGCCGCGUGAUCUUGAUUCGUCAAUAAAUUUACUGACACGACUACAGGAUCUAUUCAUACGGUCACAUAACUCAAACUUUAGCGUAAAAAAAUAAGAUGGAACUUUGUUUCCGACUUCAUGAUAUAUCCAUCUCCAUCCGAGCUGACGAUACAUCUUUAUUCAACAGAAUCUGAUGCAGGAUUGAAAUAUUUGUUUUAAUCCUGCCAAAUGUUAACUUUAUAAAUUAAUAGUAAUGGUAAUUAUAAUAGUAAAUUAAAUGCAGCCAAGAAAACUGAAGUCACGAGGUAGCCUACAAUAAUCCAAAGUUUGUUGCAACCUGACUCUGCUGACUGACCCUGCUCUGAUAGACAUCAACAUCGAGUCAGUGUCCUGACUUUCAUCGUCCUCAAAAAUAUGUUUUAAAUAAAAUCAGACACCUUACAUUUGUGUAGCAUAAAGUCACAAAAAAUGCAUAAGUGCUGUCCGUAUUUAGGUUUUCAUUAAUAAUGAGUUUUAGGUUUAGGAGAAAGCAGAUAGUAGAAAUCAACCUUACAUUAAAUAUCCUGUAUAUAUUUUUUUGUCAUCGGAAUAUCCUGUUUGAUUAAAACUUUCGAUACAGGACAGAAACUCAGAGUCAGGUAAUAGCGUAAAUCCCCGUCUGUAUUUUAUAAUUGGUGAAGGAAAAUUUCAGUUAAAGGACCAAAACAAAUUCAGCCAUUUACUGACACAUAAUCAAAGACAAUAUCACCUUUAAGAAACAUCAGAAAAAUGUAAAUGUAGAGCUUAUUUAAUUCUAUCAGUUCCCAGCCUAUCACUGUAUAUCGGUAAAUUAAACUAUGUACUACAUUUGCAAAAUAGACAGCAUACUUAUUUUGUUUAAAGUCUUUUUCAUCCUUCAAAUACAGAAAUGAUCAGAUUUAACAAAUUAAUCUUGUAUACAGUGUAAGUUGGCUAUGUCAUUACAAUCUGUAAGCAGCAUGAUGCCCUCUAUCAAACCCAAAAUACACCAUCACACUGCUUCUCUGGUUCUUAAUGAUGUGGUUAUCCUAUCACCACAGCCACGCCUGUUGUGUUCUUUUUUUUAAUUUGCUCCUGGAUUGAUAGGUCAGGCGGAGAAUACUGUACACUGUAAGUCUGCCCUCUGCUGGACCACAAAGCACACUACUGAAUACACCUCUACCUGCCUCUGCAGCCUGUGAGCGACUGUUAAGCAUUGCAGGACUUGUCUUCAGCCCACGAAGAGCACGAUUGAACUCUCGCAAUUUUGAAAAACAACUUCUGCUGAAGAUGAACCGCAAA